CCCUUCCAGACUGAGGAGACAGACAAAGCAGAGAUGUCUGACCUGGCUGAGAGGCUCUGGAUUGAUGUCCCGUCCAUCCCCAGAUGUCUGUUCCUGCCCACAGCUCUCAAUGAUUGGCUGUGAACAGUAAAGAAAAAAUGUCGGAUUUGACUUACAGGCCUUGGUCUUCUGUGCACCUUACCGGUUGGCCACAUCACAGAAUCAGGGGUGUUCACCCUCACUGGAUUCAACUGUCAACACAACACUCCAUUUAAAAUGUGAUGACAAAGACAGAACACAAACUAAAUAAAUUGGUAUUUACCACAUAAGGGCGGCGCCUUAAAGCUCUUUUGAUUCUCUCAUCACUACGGUCCAUCUUGCUUUCUGAGGGAUACAUUUUCAUCAACUGAUUGGCACAAAACAUAUCCUAAACACACACACACACACACA
Molecule: long non-coding RNA, 429 nt
Filed under: Salmo salar (Atlantic salmon)
Lineage: Eukaryota; Metazoa; Chordata; Actinopteri; Salmoniformes; Salmonidae
Description: lncRNA (ENSSSAG00000095944.1)
Source: RNAcentral